CAGUCGAGCGAGCUUGCCUAGAUGAUUUUAGUGCUUGCACUAAAUGAAACUAGAUACAAGCGAGCGGCGGACGGGUGAGUAACACGUGGGUAACCUGCCCAAGAGACUGGGAUAACACCUGGAAACAGAUGCUAAUACCGGAUAACAACACUAGACGCAUGUCUAGAGUUUGAAAGAUGGUUCUGCUAUCACUCUUGGAUGGACCUGCGGUGCAUUAGCUAGUUGGUAAGGUAACGGCUUACCAAGGCAAUGAUGCAUAGCCGAGUUGAGAGACUGAUCGGCCACAUUGGGACUGAGACACGGCCCAAACUCCUACGGGAGGCAGCAGUAGGGAAUCUUCCACAAUGGACGAAAGUCUGAUGGAGCAACGCCGCGUGAGUGAAAAAGGGUUUCGGCUCGUAAAGCUCUGUUGGUAGUGAAGAAAGAUAGAGGUAGUAACUGGCCUUUAUUUGACGGUAAUUACUUAGAAAGUCACGGCUAACUACGUGCCAGCAGCCGCGGUAAUACGUAGGUGGCAAGCGUUGUCCGGAUUUAUUGGGCGUAAAGCGAGUGCAGGCGGUUCAAUAAGUCUGAUGUGAAAGCCUUCGGCUCAACCGGAGAAUUGCAUCAGAAACUGUUGAACUUGAGUGCAGAAGAGGAGAGUGGAACUCCAUGUGUAGCGGUGGAAUGCGUAGAUAUAUGGAAGAACACCAGUGGCGAAGGCGGCUCUCUGGUCUGCAACUGACGCUGAGGCUCGAAAGCAUGGGUAGCGAACA
RNAcentral lists this ribosomal RNA (755 nucleotides) under uncultured bacterium. RNAcentral's name for it is "bacterial SSU rRNA". It matches the Rfam family "Bacterial small subunit ribosomal RNA", at positions 59 to 774 of the family's 1533-position model. The record is from RNAcentral.